Molecule: long non-coding RNA, 4980 nt
Organism: Loxodonta africana (African savanna elephant)
Lineage: Eukaryota; Metazoa; Chordata; Mammalia; Proboscidea; Elephantidae
Exons: 3
Source: RefSeq, a predicted model, not a curated record
UUUUUUUUUUUUUUGCCCUCGAGGACUCAGUGGGGUAUCUGCAGGCGCCGCGCCCAGAGGCGGGGGCUUCCUCUUGCUCGACACCCCAUAUUUCUCGGACACCCCAGGCUUUUCGCCGCCCAACCCGGGCUCGGCGCCCUAGGCGGCCGCCCACUUUAGCGCAAACAGCCGAGCCGCCUGGAAAGCAGGACUCCGCGACGCGGGUGGAAGAAGCCUGGCGGCGGCGGCGGUUUUUCUACUGGAACAGAGUAGGGGCGCUCGGGGGGCAGACCCGGAGAGGUGCAUUUGCACCAAGUGUGCGUAAUGUCACCAGCAUUGUUUGCCUCUUAGCUAGAAGGGCGGGGAACGGGCUUCCCCGCUGGUGUCCAUCACCGAGCAGGCCGUGCGCAGUUCGGAGACAACCACCCCGGACCGGUCUUCGCUCCGGACUCCGGGUGGGGACAGCGCGGGAGGCAGCCACAUGCACACACCUUCUGGGGACCUCCCAAGAUCUGCAACGUGCCAAGGGCAAAAACCGAAUUCCGAUCCGGAGCAGAUGCGGGGACAGCGGGCUUGGAAACCUCUCUCCGGGGAUGGUUUCACCCAGAAGCUUCGGCUCCUUCCUAGAAUUUCUAGAAGCUAUUUGGAGGGGCCGGCGGCUUCCGGCCCGGCCCCAAGGAAUUUGAGACCUUGGCCUGCCGGCGCGAGCGCAACGAAAGCGUGGAGAGGCGACCGGGUCGCAUUCCCAGCCAUGCCUCCCCGGCUAGGCGCGGGCCCCACCGCGGCGCCCCAGGAAGCGCAUCGGAAAACAAAGCGCUGCGGUUUCAGCCCAAGGUUAAAGUCCACCGCGAGCGUUUUUUUCCCCCCGGAAUCUGAGAGCGCUAGCGUUCCUCCAAAUAAACCGCCAAUAAAUCAGCUCCGGGGGCGCCUCUGCAGGGCUUCAGUGACCUUGGGGGAUGGCUUUCCUGCCAGACCCGUCCGAGGACAGGCAUGGGCGGGGGGACAAUGUUAUCCCUCCCCCGUCCAGAGAAGGGCGGAAGAGAGGACAGCCAAGGGCAUUCGUGGGUGUUUAUUGUGGUCCGCAUGGACCCGGAGGGGCUGGGGGGUGGGGAGACCGGUUAAUUGUGGGGUGCAAAGUGCCAGGUUGUGAAAGAAUUUGUGAUUGUGGGAGACUGGCAGUUUGGGGAUGCUGCGUGUUUGGGGGAGGUGGUACUUGUGCUCAUCCGACAAAUCUGCCCCUGCGCCGGGCACUGUUCUAGGAUGUGGUGAUAGAGCCAAGCAGGCCACACCAGGCCUCUUUGGGGCCCUCAUCCUUUGUCUGGGUGUGCCUGGGUGUGUUCGGCGGGUGAGUGUGUACAGAGUGUGACUAAUGGGAUUUAUGGAUGUCACUGCGAGAGCGACUAAUGGAGGGCUUUGCUGCACGCGUAUUUGGGGAGGGGCGCCGCACCUAUGUGGGGAAUCCGCGCCCCAGGAGGGGCUGCCUGGUCGCUUAGAGGCUCCCUCCACGCCACCGCCCGCUCCAAGCUUUGUUGGGGCCUGGGCAGCGGUCCCGGGCAGGUUAGUGCCUGUGCAGGGUUGUGGGGCACAUUCCACUACAGCCUGUCCCCUGAGGCCCCUCAGUCCCGCCUCCUUGACCCACGUGGCCUCUCCAAAGCAAGCCGUCCCACCUCCUUCCUUAGCUGAGCCCUCCCAGUUUCCUCUUUUUAGGUCUGCAAAUUCCUUUAGAGGCAAAGGGCAUCCUGCUUGGGGCAGGCUUUGCUGACCAAUUGAUUUGGGUACUGUCAUACCCAUUUCACAGAUGGGAAAUCUAAAGUGCAGAAAGGAAAAGUGAGGCAGCUAAACUCACACAGCUAGGAAGUGGCAGCCAACCAGCACCCUCAACCAAUCUGCCUUCCCUUACCAGGUGGGGGAGUGGGGAUACAUGUGUGAAGUCCCAGCUCCCCUCCCAGAUCUGAUGGAGACUACACUAACACCUUGCACCUUGGUUUACUGCCCUUCCCCAUCAAUCCUUCCUACUCUAACUUCCAUCUGUUCGAGGCAACCCAGAUGUCAGCCGGAGUCUCUGAUUGGCCUGGGAGAGGGGUGCAGGGGUAGGAUGGUUGUCUAUACCUGGUAUUCCAAGAUGGAGGCACCAGCUGGGUAGAAACCCAGGUAGGAGGAGCAGGAGUUCAGAAGGGCUUGAGAUUCCACAGAUUCAGGCUCAGGAAACACCUGGAGAAUGGAGUUUCUCAUCUCCCUUUGGAUUUCUGAUUUCCGACACAAUCUCUGCGUGUUCACGCAGGUGCUAUUUCUGCUAUUUUCGCACACAUUCUGUCCCCCAUAUCUGUGCCCCAUCACAGACCCCCUCAUCAUAGGGACCCUGAGACUCAGAAGUGGAGUGACCUUUCCAAGGUCACCCAGCAUCGUGGCAGCCACCAAGCCAUACCAGGGCUCUGCCCAGCUCUCUCCACCUCUGGGUAGGAACAGAGACAGGUACCCCCUGGUCUGUGAUGGCAUCUCUGGGAUGGGAGGAGCGGCAGGGCCUGACCCUUCUUCCCAGAUCUCCAGGAGGCCUCCCUACCCAACAGGCUCUAGGGAAAACUCACUCACUCACACUCUCUCUAUCACCUCCCUCCCUCCCGUUUUUUUCUUUUUCUUUUUUUUUUUUUAAUCCUCCUUUGGCAUUUUCUUUCAAGCUGAAAAUAAAAACAUUUCCCAUGGCUACAGCUUUGAAAGCUCCCCUCUCCCUUCCGCCGCCAUCUCAUCCCCUCAUCAAUCCAUUUCCAAAGCCAGCAUUUUAAAGUCAAGAGCAAACCCGCAAAGAUCAAGCCUGACAGGCCCCCUUCCCACUUCCCUCCACUUUCUCUUCAUGUCUGGGUCUGUCUUCAGCCUGAGAUGAGCAGGAGGAAGGCCUCCCCCACCAGCACACGCACACACACGCUCUCGCCCACGUCUGCCCAGCUUCUGUGGCCACAGGCAGCCUUUCCAGAACCUUCUUGAGCUGCUCCUGCAGGAAAGACCUGCUCGCUUCUUUCCUUCUGGAAGUGUCUGGGUUUCCCCUCCACAUUUUCUUGUCUGGCCCACCUCCCUUGGGCUCUCCUUUAGGAUGUCAUCCCAAAUUUAAGUGCCUAUAGGAAUCGGGCCACCACCCAUCUGUCAGUUUGUCAUACUGUGGUAACUUAUGUAUUGCUGUGAUGCUGGAAGCUAUGCCACUGGUAUUUCAAAUACCAGCACGGUCACCCAUGACCUAAAACUAGGAAGAAAAGCCUGGAGAUUUCCUUCUGAAAAUUAGCUGAUGAAAACCUUAUGGAUCACAACAGAGCACUGUCCGAUAUAGCACUGGGAAAUGAGCCGCUUAGGUUGGAAAGCACUCCAAAUAAAAAAUACCAACAAUUGUGAGGAUGGCGAGGACCCAGUGAUGUUCCGUUCUCUUCUACAUGGGGUCGCUGUGAGUCGGAGCCAACUCGAUGACAACCACAACAAUAACAACACAGCAAUCAGACAGGAAAUAGAUGAGCGGAAAUGGGAGAGCACCUACAGGGAGCAACUCCUCACAGCUCCAGCUGACACUCCCCAGAUCUGCUGUUGUUCGUGGAAAGCCAGUGUUUCAGUCAGCAUGGGCUAGGCUGUGCUGCAGUGACAAAAAUCCCAUACAUCUCAAUGGCUUAACACAACACAUAAAUUUAUUCUCAUCUACACAUUGUCUCUUCAGUCUGGGUGGCCCUCCAGGGCAGCCAGCCUCCAUGUGGUGACUUGGCAAUCCAAAUCAAUUAGAUUUCAUGGUUGUCUGACUCGAAUGAGGCCGCCAAGGGAAAUGGAAGAUUUGCACAGGAAAUUUUCACUGCUGGACUCCAGAAGUCACAUGUCACUUAUGCUUGCAAUCUAUUGUCCAAAGCUAGUCAUGUGACUCCACCCAACUGAAGGAUGUUGGGAAAUAGAGUAUUCCCAUGCCCAAGAAGGGGAGGAAAUUCAGAUAAUGGUGAAUAAGGACAAUGUCUACCACAGCUGGAAUGUGACCUGUCCUAAUUGUUUCACCUAGGUGCUUUUCUGAACACUGUGCUGAUCCUGGCUGGUGCAAAGGGUUAACGUGCUCAGCUGCUAACCAAAAGUUCGAAGGUUCAAGUCCACCCAGAGGCACCUUGGAAGAAAGGCCUGGAGAUCGCUUUCUGAAAAAUCAGCCAUAGAAAACCCUGUGGAGCACAGUUCUCCCCUGACAGGCAUAGGAUCGCCAUAAAUAAGUCAACUUGAUGGCAACUGGUUUGGUUAUGUUGACCAAAAUAAAGCACACAUGUAGGCCACCUGCUCGUCGUCGGUGGAAACGGACAAGAUAGGAUCUGUCCUCAUAGAGCUUCCACUGCUGAGCACUACCAAGGAGGACAGGGGGCCCCAAGAGCAGUGUGCUGGGGCCCAGACCAAGACUCCAUCCAGGGGAGGAAAGAGAUGUUCCACUAUGCUGCGAGUAAGCCCAAGCAGCCCAGAACCCUGGUCCAGAGCCCCAGCUGAGCUCCCAGUCAACAGCCUACACCAACUUCCCAGCCACAUGAGUGCGACAUCUUGGAAGCGGAUCCUCCAGCCCCAGCCAACUCACCCUAGCUGGUGCCAUGGUGGACAAAGCUGCCACCAACGAAGUACCACAGAGAGUCACAGAGCCACACAGAGGGAAGAAGCUCACACGAAGACGGAGGCAGUGGCUGGAGUGAUGCUGCCACAAGGUGAGGAAAGCCUGGGGCCACCAGAAGCCAGCAGAGACAAGGAGGGAUCCUCCCCUAGAGCCUACGGAGGAAGCCUGGCCCUGCUGACACCCUGAAUUUAGACUCCUGGCCUCCAGAACUGUGAGACAAUACAUUUCUGUCACUAUUUCCAAAUAAGGUCACCUUCUGAGGUCCCAGGGGGACAGGAAUUGUUGGAAGACACUAUUCAGCCAGAACAGUCUCCAAUCUGAGAUGGAUUCUUUUACCUCUAAUCUGAGAUGGAUUAUUUUACUUAUUUAUUUAUUUGGCAGGCAUUUUCUUAAGCCCUGUG